GCCCAGAUCCCCAUAAGUCAGCGAUGAGGGGGGCCGAGCAGGGGCUGCCCGUUAGACGGCCGCAGAGUCCCAGCCCCCAGCCCUGCUCACCUUUCUUACCUCUCUGGCCCCGUCGGCAUUUGAGCCUGGGACCCCAGACGAAAGGAUACGCUUCCUUUUAGAACCCCUGCCAAUCUGAGGACGGGGCCACCCCACAGACGCCGUGGCUCAGCAAGCAGACCAAUGGCCGAGGAGUCUGGCAAGGGGCGCUUGAUGAGAGUGGAGGUUGUAAAUCACCCUCCAUGCAAUGGUUCAUCAUAAAGGAUAUGGAGCAAAAUUAGAGGAGGCACGAGAAGGAAAGCCGGUGAUGAACAAGGAAAGUGCCUGGUUGAAGCUAGCUUGCAAUCCCAAAGUCAGAAGGUUGCCUGGGAAGCCAUGAAACAAAGCCAAAUCAAGGCAAAGCAGACACAUGGAGAUUUUGAGACUGAGAAGAGGAAAACUGAGGACAUUCAUGUGAGAUGGUUUCAAGUUUCCCUUA
RNAcentral lists this long non-coding RNA (517 nucleotides) under Homo sapiens (human). RNAcentral describes it as "HSALNT0312429". The record is from RNAcentral. Lineage: Eukaryota; Metazoa; Chordata; Mammalia; Primates; Hominidae.